CACAUAAGCUUUAAGUCUGCCUUUCUUCAUGGUCCAGAACACAUAAUCCUCCUGCACAAAUAACUCAAUCUUCCAGCUAUCACCAGAUCCUUGACUGACAGAAAAGUUACAAGUUAGCUCACUGCAACCUUGGCGUUAUCAGCACCGUACAAAGCCCUCUUCAGCUCACAGCAUAAACACUGUCUUAUUAAACCCCCACCAAGUCUUUGUGUCCUUGCAGUCAGCUCCUCCCUUGCUAACUUGCCCAUUGCACUCUUGCAACAUAUUUUCAUACUUUCUUUAAUAAAUCUGCCUUUCUUUAUCUGCAACCGUCUUGGUAAAUUCUUCUUCUCACCACACCACCAGCCCCAGAUGGUCACCACUCACCUGUGACAGUUACCAAAAAGCAUGUGACUGUCAGGCGGUCAUCUCAAAAUCAAGAAACUGAAGAGUUAAAUGCACAGCGCUUUGUUUCAUUGCUGCGCUUCCUACAUGAGAAGUAAUGGGCUGCCGCCACACUUCCGAGGACGUGAGAAGGAAUGGGUGUGCCGCCACACUUCCGCGGACACAUUUGUUUUUAGAGGCUGAUUGCAGGAGGUGCUGAUGACUCAUUGGAAAUGCUGAUUGCUGCUGGGGAGGCAUCAGCCUAGAAGCCACUUGUCUGGACUUUUUUGUGCUGAGUUCUCAUAACAGCUCUUAUCACAGCACAGAGGCAUAAGGACCUUCAGAGCGUUUGCGCAACUGCUCUUACCGCAGACACACUGCACGAGGCUCCCUUCCUCGUGAUCUCCCGCUCUGCUUUGGGAAGGCGACUGCAUCCUGGCGUCAGCAACUUCCACAGGCUCCUAAGGAUGGCGUCAGAAACAGGCACCGAGCAACUUACUGGGAUUUUGGAACAGAAAUUACAAUAAUAUGUAACUUUUAUAAGAUCCCCAAGAGGGUCUGAUACAUAGCCGAGUUAGGGAAGACUGGAAUAGUGAGUUGAAUUAUGUUUUCCAAAAAAUAUGUCUAAGUCCUAACCCCACAUGGCUUGGCUAAGACCCCACCCAAAUCUCAUCUUGAAUUGUAGUUCUCA
This is a non-coding RNA of Macaca mulatta (Rhesus monkey), 1054 nucleotides long. The record is from RefSeq and is a predicted model, not a curated record. Lineage: Eukaryota; Metazoa; Chordata; Mammalia; Primates; Cercopithecidae.